RNAcentral lists this long non-coding RNA (6458 nucleotides) under Lactuca sativa (garden lettuce). RNAcentral's name for it is "long non-coding RNA (LSAT_LNC009733)". Lineage: Eukaryota; Viridiplantae; Streptophyta; Magnoliopsida; Asterales; Asteraceae. The record is from RNAcentral.
GGCGAGGCCCUGUGGCAGGCGGGGCCUAAGUAAAACAGAUAUGUGACAGAGCGGGGCUCGAAGCCAGGCGGGGCCUGGAGCGGCGGGGCCGUUGUAGCGGGCGAGGCCCGAGGUAGGGGGCGAGGCCCAGAAUAGCGGGUGUGGCCCAGUAUUUGCAGUAUGUGUUAGUUGCAGCUAGAUAGAGGGCAUGGCCCAGUAUGUGCAGUGUGUAGUUAUGUGCAUGGUAUGUGGUAGGGUGGGGAACUCACUAAGCUUCGUGCUUACGGUUUUCAAUUUUGGUUUCAGGUACUUCCAGUAGCUGAUGAUGGAUCUCGGGGUGAUCGCAUGGCACACACCAUAGGAUUGUCAAUCUGGGAAUGUUUUACUCUGAUAUUGAACAUGUGUUUUGAAAGUUAUUACUUGAUUAUGUUUUAAAUCGAUGACUUUACUUGAGUAAUGUUUUAUUUAAAAGCAAUUUUUUUAGUCUUAAAUUUUGGGUCGUUACAAGUUGGUAUCAGAGCCUUGGUUUGAGGGAUUCGGACAUGCUCUCGAGUGUGUCUGAACUCAAAAUGGGGAAUUGGUAUGAAAGUUUUCAAAACGAAAAGACAGUUUUGUAAAAAGAGGGUUUUGAGAAGGAAAAUGGUUUUAGAAAAACACAAAGAAUUAAGAAAGAAAAGAACUUUGAAAAAAGAAAAUGGGUGUGGUGCAUGCAAUCAGCCGAGCUCAAGUAAGUACCCCAAAAUACCCAUACAAGUUUAUGAUUCUAUUAUCAGUUAGUAGAACAACAUGCUAGAAUAGGGCUAAGGAUCUAGGAAGGAUGCCUUAUGUGCCUGAUUAUAUGUUUUGCAUUGCAUGAUAAUGUUGAUUAGACAGUAGUAGGAUAGCCUGUUUAGGUUAUGUCUGAUGUUAUGAGUUGUGUUGCAUGCUAGUUCAGAUUCUUGCUAUGUGAAUAUGAUUGCUUGUGUAUGUUAUGGCUAGAUUUUCCCUUGUUCGAAUGUUGCAUGCUUUGUGCAUUGUGGGAUUUUGAGUGAUGGGAGUUAGCUAUUAGGUGGAUACGCCACAUCACAUGUGAUCAGGGUUGAAUAAUCCCAGAGUGCUGGAUUUGGCCCUAUUUCGCAGCUCUUGUUUGAGUCCAACCGUUGUAGGGAAGAGUCUUUUACUCGAAGGAUUAUCUGAGCCUCAUCACAUGUGAUGGUAUCCAGGUAAUGGCUAACUGGCAUCGCGAGGAAGCCUUCAGCAGCUGAGGACUGGUUUGAGUUGAGCCAGAGGUUUCCCUAGGGUCAGCCUAGGAUGAGAUAGUACUGGGAGCGGAAGUAGUAGAAAAGGAACCUGGUGGAGUCAAGGCAGUUCUUGAGGAAAGUACGGAUAGAUGUGGAAGGUAGUAUGGGCCCGUAAUACUGAAAGCAGAGGAUCCGUACUCGAUUCGGGAAAGGCCGAGACAAGACUGGGAACCUGGUGGUGCGUGUGUUUGGUCUCGCAGCAGUGAUAAGUGUUCUGAUAGCGGUUGUGUUGUUUGUGCAGAAUGGUGACGUUGCGAGAAAGACCAGUGGGUGGAUUAGGCGCCAGAGAGGGAUCAAGCUCAGGUUCAGAAGUCGAGCAGCUCGAGGAGCGAAUGAGGGAAUUGAUAUCAGCGGAAGUUACGCGCAAUGUUCUAGACCAGACUCCUGUGAUCUUUGGGACGGUCAAGGAGGGUAUACUGGAGAUUUUAGACGAGAGGCUGGGAGCCUUCCGUACCGAGAUGAUGGCUUUGUUAGGAGCGCGUACCUUGACAUUUAGAGAGUUUAGGGCCUUCGGGGCACCAGAUUAUCAUGGGGCUAAGGAUCCCAUUGAUAGCAGNUGAUGUUGCCAACGCUUUUCGUACGAGCAAGUGUCCCGAGGGGGACAAGGUUAGACUCGCCUCCUGUCUUCUGAAGGACAGAGCGAGGGAUUGGUGGGAAGAGAUUGGUCAUGCCCUAGGAGAUGAUGCCGCGUUGUACGUGAUGACAUGGAGUGAUUUCUCGACCAGGUUUAGAGCGGAGUUCUCACCGACUAUUAAGGUGCAGCAGCUGGCACGGGAGUUUCAGGAUUUGAGGCAGACUACUGAGACUGUAGCGGAGAUCACCGCCAACUUUAGGGAGAGGGCUCUUCUCGUACCGCAGUAUGUCGCGGAUGAGGAGAUGAAGAAGGCCCGAUACCAUGAGAUGUUGAGGGCUGACAUCAGGGAGUUUGUGAGCAGGUCCGACUGUAAAACAUUGGAAGAUAUGAUUUCUCGGGCCAGAGAAAGGGAAAUUGAUUUGGAGUAGAUCCGGAAGAGGAAGCCGGAUAAGGUUCAGGUAGCUGCGGGUUCGGGCAAAAGGCCCAAGGGAUCGAAUUCGAGAUCGAGGGGUUAUCAAGACCAUAGUCGGUGUGGAAAGUGUGGCUGGACGCACGGGGGCGCGUGCAGGAGUGGUAGCGGUGGUGAUCUAGCUGCUUCAAGUGCGGUCGGACUGGUUAUUUUAGCAGAGAUUGUACUGUUACCACCGCAUAGGGAUCUGAUUUGAUAUGUUUUCAUUGCAACCAGCGGGGCCACAAGAAGGCCCAGUGUCCCAGUUUGCUUUCGGCAGGACGGGUGAUGGCACCCGCCCCUGCAACCUUGAGGAUCACGGAUGGCCGCCAGGGCCAGGUAGAGGCACCUGCAGCAGGGAGCAGGGCUUAUCAGAUGACAACCUUGGAGGCGCGAGCAGCGCCGGACAUGGCAGGUAUGUGUCUUCCGUUUUCAGUUCUUUUAUUUGUGUAUGAUUAUAUUGUUAUGGUUCCGCAUCAGUAUCGGUAUAAGUAUUUUAUUUUGAGUAGUUGAUUGUGAUCGAGUUGUAUGCCAUCUGCAUACCCUGGAUAUUUGUACGAUAGUUAGGGGAUGUGCCCUAUUGAAGAAGGUUUCGAAGGAUGCAGUAACUGUAGCAUGCUUGGGAGGAAUUUGCAAAAGAUCGGGAUCUCUUUUGAGUAAUCGAGCAGCAAGGGGUAAGCAAGAUCGAAGUGGGGGAGAAUCCUCCGAGUGUGCCCAGGUAGGAGCACGCAGCCACAGAACGAGUAGAGGACCUCCAAGAAGGAAAAGAAGUAGUUCAGCGUCCGAUGGAUUGCGGAUUCAGGGUUGGGAGUUUGAGAAACUCCCUGGCAGCUAGCGCAUGCGAUGGUGAUGGUUAGUACGUGGAUGGGAAUUCAGGUUGUGGAUCGCCCGAAGGACUCAAGGGAGUCGGAAUGAGGAUCUUGAGAGCGAAUGGCACAUGGGUGCCUUCGUAUAAGCAGUCAGUGGUGAAAGUGUUGUAAGACUACGGGGCAACCGUAGCAUUCACUAGCGGUCAGAAAUGGGGGGUGAUGUAAGACUACGGGUAAGCCGUAACAUUCCUUAGUAGAUUCGUUAGCGGAGUUGGGGCGAGGCCCUUAUCUCCUAGUGAUCAGAUAGGGAUUAGGAAUGGGUAGUGGAUGCGAAUGAUAGGGAGUUUGCCUGUUUAGCCCUAGAAAGGUGAGACCUUGGGAGAGGCCGCUCCAGGAUAUAGUGGGUGGGACCCGUGGGCGAGGCCCGAGCGAGAGUGGUUAGACUAGUGGGACUAGGAGGUUAGAGGCGGGUGGGACCUGUGGGCGAGGCCCGAGAGUUUUAGCAGCACAGGUGGGAUCUGGUAAGGACCCUAUUGUCGAGAUAGGGGAUCGAGGGUCCCAGGUUUGUGGCGCCAGAAUGGCACGAUAGAUUGAGAAGUGCUAGGUGGUUGAAGUUCUUUCGGAAGUCGCUGAGAGCGACUAAGGCUUGUGUUGGGUCAGCAAGCGGGGGGAGCCGGUAAACCAGAUAUUGAUAGGCUUGGUAGGGACCAGGGUGGUCUCAGUUCAUUCGAAAGUCGGAAGAAGAACAGCAGAAUUGCCAGGCAGUGGCAGUGCGAGUAUGCAACGUUUGGUUGAAUUCAGUUGGUUGAUCGAGAGGUGCUCGGCACCAAGUUUUGGGCAGAGAGGAGUGUCAGUGGUUAUUGGCAGUGAUGACCCGUGCGGGCAGUAGUGGGAGUGAUGAAGUUGGCGAAGGUUAGGACCUUCUCAGCAGCAGAGGAAAUAGUUAGUUUGGAGUGUUGCCUUGGGAAGGCAAGGAGUCGCGCAAGGAAAGAGGGGGUGAAUCCCUAUGGGUUCGGUGCAGAAUUCAUAGAGUGCCAGAAGGUCUGUCGGUCAAGUAAGUUGUGCUUCUAGGAGGUUCAGGGUCAGGGUUGACCCAAGAUUAUCAUCCGCAGGUGGUGGGCCAUAGCAAACUUCGAGGACGAAGUUUAGUUUAAGUGGGGGAGAGUUGUAACACCCAAAGUUUUGAAAGCCAAGAAAGUAAAGGAAACCCUAAAUCUAAGGGGGACUCGGCGAGUCCAAGGAGGAACUCGGCGAGUCCAAGGAGGAACUCGGCGAGUCCGAGCGGGAUCCGAGUCGAGGAGUAAGUGACUAACUCGGCGAGUCGGCCAAGGCGAGUCGGCGAGUAGGGUCUGUGCGAGGAAAACCCUAAAUCCAGGACUUGGAGCCCAUAUAAGCGUCUCAUUCUUCUUCCUAGGGCUCCUUUACUGCCUCUCCAACCCAGAAUACGAACCUUUAACCGCCAUUGUUGCUUAUUCAAGCUCCUUGCCAUUUUGUGGGUGAUUUGAAGGAAGAAGGAGGGAAGGAAUCAUUGAGGCUUCAAGGAACUGCAGCGAAUCCAGAGUUGAAGGACAUUUCAGAGCACUUAAAGGUAAUAAGUCGCUUCCUUCAUCCAGAUCUACCUUGGUUAUGGGUUUUGGGGCUUUUAAGCCAUGUUUAAGAUCAAUCUUGAGCUUGAGGUCCGGAUCUGAGGUUGCUACCUCAGAUCCAUGCUUAUUUUGGUCUAGAAUCCCGUAAAGUAGCAGCCAUGGAGUGGAUUAUGGAGCCUCUUAGUCUUAAACCUUAGUUUAUGGUGCAUUUUGCUUAGAUCUCCUUCUCUACACAUAAAGUUUGCAACUUUACGUGAGGAAUGGGCUUGGGAAGGGUGGAUCUACCGUAUGGAGUCCCUGCAUGACUCAAAAGUCCUCUGCAUGUGUGUUUAACCGAUUGGACUCGGCGAGUCCUUCGAGUGGACUCGGCGAGUAACUUGAAGAUGAGGGGGAACUCAACGAGUGGGAUGAACAGCUCGUCGAGUCGGAUGAAGAUGGGCAAGAACUCGGCGAGUUGGAUGAACAACUCAGAGUUGGAUGAACAACUCGGCGAGUUGGUUGAAGAUUGCCUUGUACUCGGCGAGUCUGUUCUUAGACUCGCCGAGUCAGGUCGCGUAGUCCCAAACCCUUCGAGUUAAGACUCGAGUCAGCGAGUCGAGCAAGGACUCAGUGUGUUGGACAGGACAGGAAUCGGGAAUCAGUAGACUCGGCGAGUCAAGACGUGAUUAGAAGGACUUCGAGCAUAAGAACUCGCCGGGUCAGUAAGUGGACUCGGCGAGUAGGGUUGACCUGGAAGGUUGAAUUUGACCAAGACUUUGACUUGGACUAGAGUUAGCUUGGUUGACUGUCGGGGUUCAGUUAGACUAAGUGUUGCAUUGAUAUUGAUAGCUCAGGAAGCAAGUAGAGCAGGAGUUCAGUGAGUGGUCGGGCAGCAGCUAGUGGGAUCAUCAGCAAGAUCAGCCAGUACAGGUGAGUUUCCCUUAGUGUGAAUGGGUCUAGGGCCACAAUGUCGGCUCAUGUAGUUACGAGUAGAAGUCCCGGGGGUUAGCCCUAGGCACAGUAUGCUAAUAUAAUUUUAAGGACGAGGUCCGGUAAUAGCAGGCGGGUACCCAAGGAAUGGUUUAUGUGAUACUUUGUACUUGUUGUUUGUGUGAUACUUGUAUGUGCCUGGUAGGGAGGUGGGUGUGGGCGAGGUCCCGUACCUUACCAAUACCAGAGUGUGGAUGGUGUUCCACAUCUCAUUAGCAGGUGAUCAGGGGUGAGGCCCAAGUUAGGAAAGGGUGAGUGUGGGCUAGGCCCGUAUCUCACUAUCAGUAGGAGUAUGGACGGGGUUCCAUGGCUUGUCAGUAGCAGAAUAAGGGCGAGGCCCAGGAUAGGCGAGGCCUUUGAAUAGAAUCUUGUUAGCAGAUGUUUAGCUUAUGUGUCGUGAUAUGAUUAUGUGCUAUUAUGUGUUAGUGGGCGAGGCCCUAUGGCAGGCAGGGCCUAAGUAAAACAUAUCUGUGACCGAGCGGGNNNNNNNNNNNNNNNNNNNNNNNNNNNNGGGGCCGUUGUAGCGGGCGAGGCCCGAGGUAGGGGCGAGGCCCAGAAUAGCGGGCGUGGCCCAGUAUUUGCAGUAUGUGUUAGUUGCAGCUAGAUAGAGGGCGUGGCCCAGUAUGUGCAGUGUGCAAUUAUGUGCAUGGUAUGUGGUAGGGUGGGGAACUCACUAAGCUUCAUGCUUACGGUUUUCAGUUUUGGUUUCAGGUACUUCCGGUAGCUGAUGAUGGAGCUCGGGGUGAUCGCAUGGCACACACCAUAGGAUUGUCAACCUGGGAAUGUUUUACUCUGAUAUUAAACAUGUGUUUU